RNAcentral lists this ribosomal RNA (436 nucleotides) under uncultured bacterium. RNAcentral's name for it is "bacterial SSU rRNA". It matches the Rfam family "Bacterial small subunit ribosomal RNA", at positions 954 to 1392 of the family's 1533-position model. The record is from RNAcentral.
GCUUAACGCGAAGAACCUUACCAGGGCUUGAAUGCAUUAUGACAGGGGUGGAGACACCUUUUCCUUCGGGCAUUUUGCAAGGUGCUGCAUGGUUGUCGUCAGCUCGUGCCGUGAGGUGUCAGGUUAAGUCCUAUAACGAGCGCAACCCCUACCGUUAGUUGCCAGCGGGUCAUGCCGGGGACUCUAGCGGGACUGCCGGUGCAAACCGUGAGGAAGGUGGGGAUGACGUCAAAUCAUCACGGCCCUUACGUCCUGGGCCACACACGUGCUACAAUGGCCGGUACAGAGAGCGGCCACGCCGCAAGGCGGAGCGAAUCUACGAAACCGGUCACAGUUCGGAUCGGGGUCUGCAACCCGACCCCGUGAAGCUGGAAUCGCUAGUAAUCGGAUAUCAGCCAUGAUCCGGUGAAUACGUUCCCGGGUCUUGUACACACCG